UGACGAGUGGCGGACGGGUGAGUAAUGUCUGGGAAACUGCCUGAUGGAGGGGGAUAACUACUGGAAACGGUAGCUAAUACCGCAUAAUGUCGCAAGACCAAAGAGGGGGACCUUCGGGCCUCUUGCCAUCGGAUGUGCCCAGAUGGGAUUAGCUAGUAGGUGGGGUAACGGCUCACCUAGGCGACGAUCCCUAGCUGGUCUGAGAGGAUGACCAGCCACACUGGAACUGAGACACGGUCCAGACUCCUACGGGAGGCAGCAGUGGGGAAUAUUGCACAAUGGGCGCAAGCCUGAUGCAGCCAUGCCGCGUGUAUGAAGAAGGCCUUCGGGUUGUAAAGUACUUUCAGCGGGGAGGAAGGCGUUGAGGUUAAUAACCUUGUCAAUUGACGUUACCCGCAGAAGAAGCACCGGCUAACUCCGUGCCAGCAGCCCG
This 433-nucleotide ribosomal RNA is filed under the name Enterobacter hormaechei. RNAcentral describes it as "bacterial SSU rRNA". It matches the Rfam family "Bacterial small subunit ribosomal RNA", at positions 89 to 517 of the family's 1533-position model. Lineage: Bacteria; Pseudomonadati; Pseudomonadota; Gammaproteobacteria; Enterobacterales; Enterobacteriaceae. The record is from RNAcentral.